GAGUUUGAUCCUGGCUCAGAACUAACGCUGGCGGCGUGCCUAACACAUGCAAGUCGUACGAGAAAGUUGGCUUCGGCCGAUGAGUAAAGUGGCGCACGGGUGAGUAACGCGUGGAUAAUCUACCCCUCAGUUGGGAAUAACUCAUCGAAAGGUGGGCUAAUACCGAAUAAUACUGCAUAACUACUGUUGUGUAGUCAAAGAUGGCCUCUGCUUGCAAGCUAUCGCUGAAGGAUGAGUCCGCGUACCAUUAGCUAGUUGGUAGGGUAAUGGCCUACCAAGGCAACGAUGGUUAGCUGGUCUGAGAGGAUGAUCAGCCACACUGGAACUGAGACACGGUCCAGACUCCUACGGGAGGCAGCAGUGAGGAAUAUUGCGCAAUGGGGGCAACCCUGACGCAGCAACGCCGCGUGAGUGAGGAAGGUUUUCGGACCGUAAAGCUCUGUCGAGCGGGAAGAAGUGCAUAGUGGCUAAUAUCCAUUAUGCUUGACGGUACCGCUAAAGGAAGCACCGGCUAACUCCGUGCCAGCAGCCGCGGUAAUACGGGGGGUGCGAGCGUUGUUCGGAAUCAUUGGGCGUAAAGAGCGUGUAGGCGGCUGGAUAAGUCAGAUGUGAAAGCCCUGGGCUUAACCCAGGAAGUGCAUUUGAAACUGUUCAGCUUGAGUAAGGGAGAGGAAAGUGGAAUUCCUGGUGUAGAGGUGAAAUUCGUAGAUAUCAGGAGGAACACCGGUGGCGAAGGCGACUUUCUGGCCCUAUACUGACGCUGAGACGCGAGAGCGUGGGUAGCAAACAGGAUUAGAUACCCUGGUAGUCCACGCUGUAAACGAUGUUCACUAGGUGUUGGGGGUAUUGACCCUCUCAGUGCCGCAGCUAACGCAUUAAGUGAACCGCCUGGGGAGUACGGUCG
Molecule: ribosomal RNA, 904 nt
Filed under: methanogenic bacterium enrichment culture clone Me_c37
Lineage: Bacteria
Description: bacterial SSU rRNA
Rfam family: Bacterial small subunit ribosomal RNA
Source: RNAcentral